UUAAUUUUUGCAUUUAAUAACCGCAUUGCGGCUGAAACGAGCCAGCAAACUGCCACCGGUCAGUCAGUUGGGCAGCGAUCGCGACGGGCGGCCAUUAAGCUUAAUAUGGCCAAGUAAAUUCUUGGCCAACUAUCCGGAGGUGUGAAGAAAAGUGUCGACUUGUUAAGCUGCGGCCACAGCGGGCCCAGACAGAUAGCCACCAACACCAGAGCUCUGUGGACGAGAUCGCCUGAGUUGCGAGCGCAUUUCUCGGAAACAACGCGCUCGUUUCGUGGAAGCAAUAAAUAAGAAGGCGGUGGCGGCGGAGGGAGCGGCAUUGUCCUUCAUGUGUUGCGUGGCGUAAUAAAUUUUAUUUAUUUUUUUUCCCCCCAGCUUUAUUCCUUUUCUUUUCCCGGCACAAGGACGACAUGGCGAAAAGGGCCGACGGACCAACACCACCGCCUUGUCGCACUCAAUUAGCGAACGCGAACGCGAGUCGCGCGCGUUUUUGGCGCGGCGAAAUCUGUUUGAUUUUCUUCUUGGCCAACUUAACGAUCGGCGUGCGGUUUUCUUGUUGAAGCAAAUUAACUAGACUGGUCUAGAGAUUAUCACCACCCAGCUACUCUAUCCCCCGCUGGCUGUCAACACCCGGCAUUGUCUUUGCGAAUGAAAUCCACAGACGAACAAUGGCUGGAAAAUAAUAUACAAGUUGCCUAUAAAGUGCCUGCUUAAGCUUUGAUGAGCUUAGACCCAUAAACCUCAUAAUGGUAGCUGCUCUAUAAAACAAAAUACGUGGCCAAGUGGAAUGGAGCUGAAAUUAAACCCCCCGCUUUCAAGCCAAUUCAAUUUGGGCGAUUCCACCGAAGUCUGUGUACACUUUAUGAGCAAGAGCCCCCAUUCAAAGCGGUUGUUAAAACCGAAAUUAGUUUUCUUAAUUAGUUCGGGCAGCUAAAAUUUAAUUAAACUUAAAGUGGAAGCAAAAUAAUGCAGCCGGAUUCAUUUUCAUUUCAGAGGAAUAUUUUCAACAAAAUUAACUUCUUAGUACAAAUGUCAAAAUAGAGAGGAUAAGAUU
Drosophila melanogaster (fruit fly) is the source of this 1051-nucleotide non-coding RNA. Lineage: Eukaryota; Metazoa; Arthropoda; Insecta; Diptera; Drosophilidae. The record is from Ensembl.